AUAAGAGUUAUGGAAAGUUAUAUUCUUAUUAGAAUGAUGAAGAGUAUAUAUACACGUACAGAGGAGGUUAUCUAGGUUAAGUAUUUAUACAUAAGACCCUAUAGUUCUUGUUAUUUAUAUCUUGUCUAUACACCCCCUCAAGAUGGAGGGGCUGGAGUCACUCCAAUCUUGGUGCAGGCAGUGUUGAAGAGACUCCUCGAUAACGGUUUGGUUAGUGUAUCAGCUAGCUGAUCUCUAGAGGAAACAUGUGUGACACGAAGUUGGCCUGCUUGGAUCAUGUUGCGCGUAAAGUGAUAGUCAAGUGCGAUGUGCUUCAUACGAGAGUGGAAAACCGGGUUUGCACAGAGAUAGGUUGCGCCAACGUUGUCACAGUAAAUCACCGGAGCUUGAUGAAUAUCAAUUCGUAAUUCAGAGAGCAAGGAGCACAACCAUGUAACUUCAGCAGCGGUGUUUGCAACAGCUCUAUACUCAGCUUCAGUGGAUGAUCGCGCAAUGCCGUUCUGUUUCUUUGAAGACCAUGAGACAGGGUUCUUACCCAAGUAGAUGAUGUAGCCAUUUGUGGAGACAUAGUCAUCUGUAUCACCUGCCCAGUCCGCAUCCGAGAAAGCAUGAAGAGUAAGAGGUGAAUCUUGAUGAAGAAAAAUACCAUGAUUUGCAGUGCCGGCAAGAUAGCGCAGUACACGUUUAACAGCUUGCCAGUGUUCCAUUGUAGGUUGAUGCAUGAACUGUGAGAGGCGUGCCACAGCAUAGGCGAUGUCAGGUCUUGUGAAUGCAAGAUAUUGAAGACUUCCUACUACUGAACGAUACUGAGAUCCAUCUUGUAGUGGAGUUCCACCUCGAAGUGUAAGUUUUGGCUGAGAAGGAAGUGGUGUGGAGAUCGGCUUUGCAUCGGUCAUGUUGGUUUUGUGAAGAAGGUCACGUAUAUAUUUAUAUUGCAUCAAGUGAAUCCCUUUCUUUGUUCUAGUCACCUCUAUGCCGAGAAAGUAAUGGAGAUCAACUGGAUCUUUGAUAGAGAAUCUUUCUGCAAAGGAAGUUAGAACCUGUUGAACAAAGCGGUUGUUAUUGCCUGUGACAAUUAUGUCAUCGACGUAAACUAACACAUAUGUCAGUGUCUGAGGCGUGCAGUGAAUAAACAGAGACGCAUCAGCAUGUGAGUUGAUGAAGCCAUUGUUGAGGAGAUGUUGUUUGAGUGACAUAUACCAGGAGCGAGGAGCUUGUUUUAAACCAUAGAUUGGCUUCCGCAGGCGACACACAUGGUGAGGUUUGUCCUUAUCAACAAAGCCAGGAGGCUGCAUCAUGUAGACAAGUUCAGUAAGAUCUCCCUGGAGGAAGGCAUUGUUGACAUCCAGUUGCUUUAUCGGCCAUGAUUUGGUGACUGCAAUUUCCAAGACUAAGCGGAUGGUCGUAGACUUUAUUACCGGACUAAAUGUUUCUGAAUAAUCCACGCCAUACUGCUGAGUAUAUCCCUUAGCAACCAGACGUCCUUUAGGGCGUUCUUCACGACCACAGGGAAGAUAUUUAGUUGUGAACAACCAUCUACACCCAAUGACAUUUUGGCCUUGCUGUGGUGGUUCUAGAUCCCAUGUGUGGUUGACAAUGUGAGCAUCAAACUCAGAGGUAGCAGCGGCUCUCCAUUUUUCAUCUUUCAUUGCUUGUAUUAUUGUGGUUGGCUCCAUAUUAUUCUUUUGUUUUCCUGCAAUAGUAAGAGUUAGUUUCUGGAUCGGCUUGGAUAUUUUAUUUUUGGCUCGUGUUUGCAUUUUGUGGACAUUUUGUAGUGACUGAGUGUUUGGAUUUUGUGGUUCAGUGGGUUGUAUAGGUACGGUUGGUUGGGUAGUGGUUUGGUUUGGAACUGGUUGUGUCUGAGUCUGGGUCUGAGACUCAUUUUGUUGUGGAGCAGUGGGCUCUAUGAUCGUUGGGUUUGGCUGAGUCAUGGGGUUUGACUCAUUUUGAGAAUGAGCAGUAGGCUCAGAGGUUGAAGGAGAGAGUGAGUCAGGGGAAUGAGAAGACGAUACCUGAGGUGUUGGCGGUUGGUGAAGGACCGUGCUCGGGGUUCCCAUUGCUGGAAUAGGUAUGACUGUGAUCGGAGGGUUCAUGGAGGGUGUAGCCGCUGACGAUUUCGCAGUACUAGGCGUGGCCAUUGUAGCCUCUGUUCUGAAAGGAAACUCUGUUUCAACGAAUUGAACAUGCCUCGAGGUAUAAAGCCGAGUAGUUGCAGCAUCGAGACAAUAAUAUGCGCUUUGUGUUGGUGAGUAACCAAGGAACACACAACGUUUUGAUCUGUCUUGAAGCUUGUUUGUGUUGUAGGGUCGUAACCAGGGGAAACACAAGCAACCAAAGACUCUGAGCUUCCCAUAGUUCGGCUGUUGGCCAAAGAGUUUGAAAAAUGGUGACUGCAUGUCAACGGUGGGAGACGGCAGUCUGUUGAUCAGAUAAACGGCAGCCGAGAAAGCAUAAGUCCAAUAGGUCUUUGGCAUAGAUGCUGUCGAUAACAAGGUGAGGCCAGUCUCUACUAUAUGUCGAUGUUUUCGCUCGGAUAGUCCAUUGUGUUGAGGCGUGUGAGGAGGGGAGGUCAAGUGAGUGAUGCCGUGUUGUGCAAGAAAGCUUCUGAGAGCAAUAUACUCACCCCUAUUGUCUGAAAAGAGUGUUCCAAUAGGCAUGUUGAACUUCUUCUCAACAAGUGACUUGUAGGCAAUGAAAACCUCCUUGACUUGUGAUUUUUGGCGUAGAGGGUACAUCCAAGUAUACCUUGUAUAGUGAUCAACAAGAACAAGAUAGUAUUUGAAAUUAUCAACUGAGGUUAUGGGUGAAGACCAGACAUCAGUAAAGAUGUAUUCAAGAGGGCGAUGAGAAAUGAUAGAAGUGUUUGUAAAAGGUAAACGAUGGCUUUUAUUAAUCAUGCAUUCAGAACAAGAUAACUGUUUUUGAGAAGAAGAAAUAGGAAGAGAAAACUGAGAAACAAUAGAGUUUAAAAUGGAUAAAGAUGGGUGGCCAAGUCUAGAAUGCCACGACAGCAGAGAGGUUUUUGGGUUUGAUGCAGAAACCAUGGCCGUUGCUUGAUGAAGAGAUACCGGCCAUUCAUAGAGCUCAUUUCUAGUCUUGCCUUGGAGCAAUGGGACCCCCGUGCUGAGAUCCUUCACCUGAAAGGAAGCAGGAAAGAAUUCAACAGAAACUCCAUUAGUAUUGCAUAACCGAUAUACAGAAAUAAGGUUCUUAUCAAUGUUUGGCACACAUAAUAUAUUCUGUAAAGCAAGGUCACGAGUUGGAGUUGAGAGGGUUGAAAGACCAGUGUGUGAGAUAGGUAAGCUUGUACCAUCAGCAAUGAUCACAUCAUCUCCUCCUUGGUAAGGUUGGUGAAGCGACAAGUUGUUGAGAUCAGACGUGAUAUGAUGAGUGGCGCCAGAGUCAAGUAACCAGUUUGCAGCCGUGUAUGGCGAGUUCAUCACCAUAUUAGCACGAGGUUGCCACGGUCGAAAGGGACUGACGUUGGGGUUGGUGGGGUUGACAGUUUGCUGAUGUAGAGUCUGAAACUGAGGGCAUCGCCUUGCGCUAUGGCCUUGGGUUUGACAGAUCUGGCACUUGCCUAAGUAGGGCUUGAAGGGACGCGGGUUAGAGCUCGGCGUGUACUGGUUGCUCGCAGUGUUGUUGUAGGAAGAGGUAUUGUACCUCUUAUUGUUGUUGUUGUUGUUGUUCCGGUUACUGGUUUGAUGACGAUGUUGCACCGCAUUAGCUGAAGUCGGAACCACCAUUGUAGAGGAGUCGCGAGACGCAAGCAACUUUGCCUCAUGAUUGAGAAGUCUUUCGUGAACUUCUGUAAUACUCGGUGGAGUAUCUUUGCCUUCGAUCUGGUCUACAACUGUCUUGUACUCAUCCGGUAGCCCAUUGAGAAUAAUCUCUACUUGAUCCUCAUGAUCAUACGGUUUGCCUAGAAUCGCAAGCUGAUCUAGCUUGGACAUCACGCCUUGAAGGUAGUCAUCAAUUGUCUUAUCUCCUUUGAUGUUAAUCUUCAACUGAUCUUUGAGCUGUUUGAUAUGACCACGGCUCGGUUUAGCAUACGUUGCCGCUAGCUUCUCCCAGAUCUGAGAUGCCAUGGUGGUGCGAGAGACGAUAGGCUGGAUGGAGGGAGAGAUCGCACCCAGGAGAGCGCUAUAGAUCAACUUGUCUUGCCUUGUCCAGCGGACAAAAUCUGGAUUGGGAGUUACAUCAUCACCAUUGGUGAUUGUUGCAGUGGGGAUCUCUGGAACAGCAUCGAGAUGGCUUGCAAGAGCAUAUCCAUCUAAGAGGGCAUGGACUUGUAAGCUCCACAUAAGGUAGUUGGUGUUUGUGAGCUUGGACACAUUUGACAUGUUAACGUGAAGAAGCUGAUUGUUGUUGAGAGAGAUGAUCUCAGUUGUGUUUGUGGAUGAACUCAUGACGGCUUGGGUGUUUGGAGAGAGCGUAAAAAAUUAGGUUUCUAGGAGCGUAGCUCUGAUACCAUAUAAGAGUUAUGGAAAGUUAUAUUCUUAUUAGAAUGAUGAAGAGUAUAUAUACACGUACAGAGGAGGUUAUCUAGGUUAAGUAUUUAUACAUAAGACCCUAUAGUUCUUGUUAUUUAUAUCUUGUCUAUAA
This 4605-nucleotide long non-coding RNA is filed under the name Brassica rapa (field mustard). RNAcentral's name for it is "long non-coding RNA (BRAP_LNC002295)". Lineage: Eukaryota; Viridiplantae; Streptophyta; Magnoliopsida; Brassicales; Brassicaceae. The record is from RNAcentral.